Molecule: microRNA precursor, 102 nt
Filed under: Retroperitoneal fibromatosis-associated herpesvirus
Lineage: Duplodnaviria; Heunggongvirae; Peploviricota; Herviviricetes; Herpesvirales; Orthoherpesviridae
Description: miRc-RF09
Source: RNAcentral
AUUGCCCUGGUUGCAGGCGGGUGCCUGGUCGGUAACACUGCGCAGUCUAAGUUAACGCAUAGUGUUUCCGACCGCGGCGUCCGCCCGACCGAUAUCGGCAGU